This 207-nucleotide ribosomal RNA is filed under the name uncultured bacterium. Its description in RNAcentral is "partial 16S ribosomal RNA". It matches the Rfam family "Bacterial small subunit ribosomal RNA", at positions 568 to 774 of the family's 1533-position model. The record is from RNAcentral.
CGUGUAGGCGGCCCGGUAAGUCUGCUGUAAAAACCCGGGGCUCAACCCCGGGCGUGCAGUGGAAACUGCCGGGCUAGAGGGCGGCAGAGGCGAGUGGAAUUCCCGGUGUAGCGGUGAAAUGCGCAGAUAUCGGGAGGAACACCAGUAGCGAAGGCGGCUCGCUGGGCCGUCCCUGACGCUGAGACGCGAAAGCUAGGGGAGCGAACA